UUGCAUCCGAUGCUGGACAUGGGUAGGAACCCUUGAUGAAUCCCAAUUUGUUCUUUACUGACAGAGCAGUUAGGACUGACCUCUUCCACCCUAGAUAUCCCUUGCCAUCAAAGGUUGUAUUUACUUGUGUUAUACCAGGGUUAUCAAAAGCAUGAAGAUGAUUUGGAUGAUUUGGAUCCAUGGUGAGAGUGCUAGCAGUAGUAGUCAUUGAAGCAGUAGCUGUUUGCUCCACCAUGUUUG
This 240-nucleotide long non-coding RNA is filed under the name Capsicum annuum. Its description in RNAcentral is "long non-coding RNA (CANN_LNC000372)". Lineage: Eukaryota; Viridiplantae; Streptophyta; Magnoliopsida; Solanales; Solanaceae. The record is from RNAcentral.